Molecule: long non-coding RNA, 211 nt
Filed under: Mytilus galloprovincialis (Mediterranean mussel)
Lineage: Eukaryota; Metazoa; Mollusca; Bivalvia; Mytilida; Mytilidae
Source: RNAcentral
GUUAAAGUUUUUGGUCAAGGUAGUUUUCAAUGAAGUUAAAGUCCAAUCAACUUGAAACUUAGUACACAUGUUCCCUUUUGGUUGAUCUUUUUACUUUUAAGGCCAAAUUAGAUUUUUUACCCAAUUUCACGGUCCAUUGAACAUGGAAAAUGAUAAUGCGAGUGGGGCAUCCGUGUACUUUGGACACAUUCUUGUUUUCUCAUAUGUGUGU